RNAcentral lists this transfer RNA (89 nucleotides) under Candidatus Dojkabacteria bacterium CG_4_10_14_0_2_um_filter_Dojkabacteria_WS6_41_15. RNAcentral describes it as "tRNA-Ser". It matches the Rfam family "tRNA". From Rfam's summary of the family: Transfer RNA (tRNA) molecules are approximately 80 nucleotides in length. Their secondary structure includes four short double-helical elements and three loops (D, anti-codon, and T loops). Further hydrogen bonds mediate the characteristic L-shaped molecular structure. tRNAs have two regions of fundamental functional importance: the anti-codon, which is responsible for specific mRNA codon recognition, and the 3' end, to which the tRNAs corresponding amino acid is attached (by aminoacyl-tRNA synthetases). tRNAs cope with the degeneracy of the genetic code in two manners: having more than one tRNA (with a specific anti-codon) for a particular amino acid; and 'wobble' base-pairing, i.e. permitting non-standard base-pairing at the 3rd anti-codon position. RNAcentral also lists the same sequence under 2 other names. The record is from RNAcentral.
GGAGAGGUGGCUGAGUGGUUGAUGGCACUACUCUCGAAAAGUAGCAUACGGUUUACGUAUCGGGGGUUCGAAUCCCCCCCUCUCCGCCA